GGGGAAUAUCGGGCAAUGGGCGCAAGCCUGACCCAGCAACGCCGCGUGAAGGAAGAAGGCUUUCGGGUUGUAAACUUCUUUUCUUGGGGACGAAGAAAGUGACGGUACCCGAGGAAUAAGCGACGGCUAACGACGUGCCAGCAGCCGCGGUAAUACGUAGGUGGCAAGCGUUAUCCGGAUUUACUGGGUGUAAAGGGCGUGUAGGCGGGAGUGCAAGUCAGAUGUGAAAACUCAGGGCUCAACCCUGAGCCUGCAUUUGAAACUGUACUUCUUGAGUGCUGGAGAGGCAAUCGGAAUUCCGUGUGUAGCGGUGAAAUGCGUAGAUAUACGGAGGAACACCAGUGGCGAAGGCGGAUUGCUGGACGACAACUGACGCUGAGGCGCGAAAGCGUGGGGAGCAAACAGG
This 406-nucleotide ribosomal RNA is filed under the name uncultured bacterium. RNAcentral describes it as "bacterial SSU rRNA". It matches the Rfam family "Bacterial small subunit ribosomal RNA", at positions 356 to 776 of the family's 1533-position model. The record is from RNAcentral.